This is a non-coding RNA of Schizosaccharomyces pombe (fission yeast), 390 nucleotides long. Lineage: Eukaryota; Fungi; Ascomycota; Schizosaccharomycetes; Schizosaccharomycetales; Schizosaccharomycetaceae. The record is from the annotation of a GenBank genome assembly.
UUCAUACAUUGACCGACUCAAAGUUGAAUAUGAAUUAACCGACAGUAGCUCAUCAUGUAAUUAUAAGUUAUAAAUUUUUGUAUAAAACAUAUAAAACAGCCAAAUAACUAUAAUGUAAAUAGUGCAAGAAAUAGAAUGUUAGAAUAUAGAACGCUAUACUAAUGCAGUUUCUUUUACGUCCCUCGAGAGCAACGACAGGGGAAACGAUUUGUUCUUGAAACAGGGAGCAAUGUAAAAAUACAUAGAAUUACUUUAUAAUGAAAAAAAUUCCUUUUUAUUUUAAAAGUAUAAAAGAGAAGCGUCGAAUAGGGAACGAGAUGACAAAUUCUGCAUAUGAUGAGAACGGUAAGGAAUUUGAAGUUGAACACAUACACAAAAGUGUAUUCAGAA